This 606-nucleotide long non-coding RNA is filed under the name Homo sapiens (human). RNAcentral describes it as "non-protein coding PROX1-AS1:64". Lineage: Eukaryota; Metazoa; Chordata; Mammalia; Primates; Hominidae. The record is from RNAcentral.
AGUGGGACCGAGCCUCUCUCUCUCUCUCUCUCUCUCUCUCUCUAUCUCUCUCUCUCUCUUUUUUUUCCCCCGGCAGAGAGAGGAAAACACGCGAGUGCACACACGGUGAUAUCUUGCGGGUGAUGAAUAUGAUAAUUGGACAAGGGACGAGAGAACCAUUCUCUGCUUUCAAUAGGACAGAAGAGCUCCUUGGCACUGGAUGCCUCCGGGUCUGGUUGAGAGAGGAAUGGUUAGGAGACUGUUCUGAGGAUACGCAGACAUCAUCCAAAGCUUCCUACAUUCAGAUGAGGACAGAGGUUGGGCCAGAGCUUUGUAAGCUUGUUACCUAAGGAUGGUUCUGACCAUGUAAGCAGAUCACAGAAGCUGGAGGCAAAGGAUGCCAAGAUGGGAAAGCCACAUAAUGGAAGGAUCCUGGAUUUCAGAGCUGUCACUUGGAGGAGGGGCACCCAGUGAAGGUGUCUUAUCUAACCCACACCAUAUCUUCAUGAAGUGGCCAUAUGGAUUUGAUCCCUAUCCUUCAGAGGUGCUCAGCCUAAGGGAACACGGAUAGUAGAUUAAGCACUGACCAGAUAUAUAGAAGCACUUAGGAACUUUGUUCUACUAUUC